Molecule: ribosomal RNA, 253 nt
Filed under: uncultured bacterium
Lineage: Bacteria
Description: partial 16S ribosomal RNA
Rfam family: Bacterial small subunit ribosomal RNA
Source: RNAcentral
UACGAAGGGGGCUAGCGUUGUUCGGAAUUACUGGGCGUAAAGCGCGCGCAGGCGGCUCUUCAAGUCAGGGGUGAAAGCCCAGAGCUCAACUCUGGAACUGCCUUUGAGACUGAAGAGCUUGAGUACGGGAGAGGUGAGUGGAAUUCCCAGUGUAGAGGUGAAAUUCGUAGAUAUUGGGAAGAACACCGGUGGCGAAGGCGGCUAUCUGGACCGUAACUGACGCUGAGGCGCGAAAGCGUGGGGAGCAAACAGG